This 484-nucleotide ribosomal RNA is filed under the name uncultured bacterium. RNAcentral's name for it is "partial 16S ribosomal RNA". It matches the Rfam family "Bacterial small subunit ribosomal RNA", at positions 30 to 507 of the family's 1533-position model. The record is from RNAcentral.
AUUGAACGCUGGCGGCAGGCCUAACACAUGCAAGUCGAGCGGAUGAAGGGAGCUUGCUCCUGGAUUCAGCGGCGGACGGGUGAGUAAUGCCUAGGAAUCUGCCUGGUAGUGGGGGAUAACGUCCGGAAACGGGCGCUAAUACCGCAUACGUCCUGAGGGAGAAAGCGCGGGAUCUUCGGACCUCACGCUAUCAGAUGACCCUAGGUCGGAUUAGCUAGUUGGGGGGGUAAAGGCCUACCAAGGCGACGAUCCGUAACUGGUCUGAGAGGAUGAUCAGUCACACCAGAACGGAAAAGAGGUACGGACCACAAUCGGAAGGAAGAGUGGGGAAAAGUGGAUUGUUGGCGAAAGCCUGAUCCAGCCAUGCCGCGUGUGUUAAGAAGGUCUUCGGAUUGUAAAGCACUUUAAGUUGGGAGGAAGGGCAGUAAGUUAAUACCUUGCUGUUUUGACGUUACCAACAGAAUAAGCACCGGCUAACUUCGUG